UCGCGGAUCAGCAUGCCGCGGUGAAUACGUUCCCGGGCCUUGUACACACCGCCCGUCACACCACGAGAGUUUGUAACACCCGAAGUCGGUGAGGUAACCUUUUAGGAGCCAGCCGCCGAAGGUGGGACAGAUGAUUGGGGUGAAGUCGUAACAAGGUAGCCGUAUCGGAAGGUGCGGCUGGAUCACCUCCUUUCUAAGGA
RNAcentral lists this ribosomal RNA (200 nucleotides) under Bacillus subtilis. RNAcentral's name for it is "partial 16S ribosomal RNA". It matches the Rfam family "Bacterial small subunit ribosomal RNA", at positions 1342 to 1533 of the family's 1533-position model. The record is from RNAcentral. Lineage: Bacteria; Bacillati; Bacillota; Bacilli; Caryophanales; Bacillaceae.